CAGACGAACAAUAAGGUUAAAAGAUGAGAAAGAUAAGUUUACUCUGGAAGAGUUGUUUUGAUAAUCUUACUAUAAUAAAGAAAAGGUGGAGUUUCAACGGACCGACAGGAAAUGACCAGCUUACUCCUCCGUGGUGUUCUUAUGCCGCUCACAUUUUCAAUGGAACGAGGAAUGAAUACGUAUCUGGUGUUCAUCUUCAUAUCUCUUUUCUUGACUUUCUCCCUUCCCAAAUCGAGUGAAAGAUAAAGAUCGAAAUCUAACUACAGCACAGUCCCAAAUUUUGAUUUUCAUGGUCACACUAAACCCAUCGGAUUUCGAUCUAUUCAACUCUGGAUUACUAUUCAGCCAUAUAAUGAUCUUUACAAUUGGUGAUGUUUAUCAUGCAAAUUGACCAAAGACGGGGGAAGAGAAGAGAAGCGAAGGGUUAUGUACUGGUUUGUCCGCUUGAGUUGAGAUUGUUGAGUUCAGUUUCAAUUGUGUUUUUUGAAUGGGUUUUCCUGGUAUUCAAUAUUCCCUUCGUAAUAGUUAAUGUGGGAACUCAGUUGAAUGCGGAUAUGUGUUAAGAAUCUAAUAUUAGAUUGCCAUCCACGUAUUUGUGGAAAUGCCUAGCAUAAAAUGUAGUGAUGUCUGAUAAGUUAGGUGCAGAAAUUGGCAACUCUAGGUACAAGUUCUUGUACUGUAUUUUCUUCUAGGAAAUUCACGACUUCUACAUAGCUCUCUAAUUUUGGAUAAUAUAUCUGAUAUAGCUUCGAUUGUAGAGAGUCAAAAUUAGUGCCUAAGUUUUCACAACUUGGAAUUCAGGGAUUACAUAGAGGUCUUAUACCAGCUAUACUCGGUUAAUUUCAAGGUUAAAGCUUUUUAGGCACUUUGUAAUACAAUAUAUGGGUAGUAGACUUGCAUCGUACAUCUGUGUGUUUAGGGUAUUGGCUUUAUUCCUUGGGAUGGUUUCUAUAACUGUUUUUUCUUUCGUUCUUUAUCUUUUUUGAAUGCUUACGGAUUUUCUUCUUUAUCUGCUAAUUCUUCCGAAUUUUGCAACACUGUAUUCUUAUAUUCAUCCUAUAAGAAAGAUGAGUAGGGCCAACUACAUUGAGCACAGUUUGGUACUUUGAUUCUCCGCUCUCAAUUUUGGUUAACUAUACGAUUAAACUUCAUGUAUUGGUCUAAAUUUAUUUAGUUGUUCAAUUAUUUCAGUAUCUUUAUUAACUAAAUUUUGUUUAUUAACUAAAUUCUUAAGAUUUGAUUGUAGAUUUGUGUCCUUUCGUAUUUGAUCGUGGAUUGUUAACUGUUUGAUAUUUCAGAUCCCUGCACAGGUCCCUUGAGAGGAAAGGACAAAGAAACAUUUUUCUUUGGUUUGUGACUCCCUCAACGACAGAGGUACAAAGGACUGUCCAUGGGUAUCCAUAACGGAGGACAUACAGUUCGAGCUACUAGCUUCUUUGAAAGUGCAUUAGAUUUUUGAGUUGCAGGACCAACAUUCAUAGUCAGAAGUCUCUUUCAUUAGAACUGUUCACUCAAUAUAAGUUGUAGGUCGGAUGCUAAAACUACUUUAGCUCACAUCAGAAAAUUAUUCAGUACAGACCUUUUUUCUGGUUCAUUUAUGGAAACCCAUUUCUGGUGGAGUUGUUCCUACGAUUGAAGACGUAGAUGACUUCUACCAACUGAAAGAAUACUACCAUUGGCGUGUGAAUGUUCUGAAAAAUGAGAUCUGAAAUCAUCUAUAUGUCAUCAAAAUUUCAAAUA
Papaver somniferum (opium poppy) is the source of this 1740-nucleotide long non-coding RNA. RefSeq lists it as uncharacterized. The transcript has 2 exons. The record is from RefSeq and is a predicted model, not a curated record. NCBI's taxonomy places the organism in Eukaryota, Viridiplantae, Streptophyta, Magnoliopsida, Ranunculales, Papaveraceae.